This 72-nucleotide small RNA is filed under the name Caenorhabditis brenneri. Its description in RNAcentral is "snoRNA CBN34048". It matches the Rfam family "Nematode sRNA ceN72-3_ceN74-2". The record is from Rfam by way of RNAcentral. Lineage: Eukaryota; Metazoa; Nematoda; Chromadorea; Rhabditida; Rhabditidae.
AACUGCGGUCCGGAGUGAAUUGGUUAUGAUUAGAAGAAGAAUCCCCCCCAUCCACACCAACUUGACCGCUGU